AGCGAACGCUGGCGGCAGGCCUAACACAUGCAAGUCGAACGAACCUUUCGGGGUUAGUGGCGGACGGGUGAGUAACACGUGGGAACGUGCCUUUAGGUUCGGAAUAACUCAGGGAAACUUGUGCUAAUACCGAAUGUGCCCUUCGGGGGAAAGAUUUAUCGCCUUUAGAGCCGCCCGCGUCUGAUUAGCUAGUUGGUUGAGGUAAUGGCUCACCAAGGCGACGAUCAGUAGCUGGUCUGAGAGGAUGAUCAGCCACAUUGGGACUGAGACACGGCCCAAACUCCUACGGGAGGCAGCAGUGGGGAAUCUUGCGCAAUGGGCGAAAGCCUGACGCAGCCAUGCCGCGUGAAUGAUGAAGGUCUUAGGAUUGUAAAAUUCUUUCACCGGGGACGAUAAUGACGGUACCCGGAGAAGAAGCCCCGGCUAACUUCGUG
RNAcentral lists this ribosomal RNA (434 nucleotides) under uncultured bacterium. RNAcentral's name for it is "partial 16S ribosomal RNA". It matches the Rfam family "Bacterial small subunit ribosomal RNA", at positions 29 to 507 of the family's 1533-position model. The record is from RNAcentral.